CUUCAACACAAGCUCCCAUAGCAAUACAAUUUUGUUUCCCCUUUGUUGUUUCUCCAACCUUUUAAAUUAUUCCCAUAAUGUUUUUCUUUUAGUAUAUUCUGUUCUCUCCAUUAUUCCUAUUUUCUCUUGUAUUCAACCUCUGUCCUCUAUAGUCUAUCCCUUUCCUUCAUUCUUAUUUAUGCCCAUCUUCUCUUGUCUUUUUUCCACUUCACAGGUGCAAAAUUUAUAAACUGAUUCUGACAACCUACAGGCUUCUCCAAUCACAAAGUACACUUUCCUCCUGCUAUAUCUCCUUUUUACCAGAAGAAAUAUCUUCUUCAAACUCACAAAACUAACACUUUCAUCCAAAUAAAAGACUUCCAACAGAACUUUAACCCAUAUUAAUUCAUCAGUUACAUUCCCCCAUCUACUCCCCAUACUACAGACUUACACUUCUCUUUCAGCCAUAUUUCAAUCUCUCUCCUCUACUUUUUUUUCCACAUCACACAAUAACUGCUAACAACAACUUAAUAUAGGCUGCAAAGAGUACUGAUAAGGUACUGUAAAUGCAAAGUCUAUCACAUAUAAGCAAUGCAUAAUCAGAUAUGUUGAUGCUGUUGUAACAGAAGUAAUUCUUUCCUCAAACAGGGAUAGAGUGCAAACCACAUAAAUUAAAUGGGUGAAAGGGUAAAUAUUACCUGGACAAUUUACGUUGAAAACACAUCAUGUGAAUUCUUUAUCUUUUUUUUUUUUUUUUCAGUACCAGGGAUUGAACUCAGGACCUUCAACUUGCAAGAGUCCCCUCUCAUGGGUGGUAUGGUCUGCAGUGAUGUGAUGAGCAGGCAGGACAGAGGUCACACGGUAUCGUCCUGGGUGCUUCCUUUGAGCCAGCAGAUGCUCAGGUUGCCUCCAGGAUGGUGUGUCAUGGUCUCCAAAGGGAAAGGCUUGCUGUCACCUUCUUGUGGGUGCUGCAGAGGACAUGGUGGCCUUUUAUCCAGGCAGCUUUGUUCCUUGUGGUGGGCUCUCACAGAAGCCUUCAGGAUAAGGUGCCUGAGCUGCAGCCACUCCCCAUUGCCUGUAUCUACUGGGAAAGGUCCUCUCCUUCCAAAUAUUUCUCUCCUCCAAGUAACAUCAGGCUGGGUUCUAGAGAGAGCAGCCCAUGGGACUGAUAGUGGUGUCAGCCUACACUUUUCCCUUCCCCUCCUCAUGGGCCAGGGAAAAAGACAUGAAGACUUGGUUGGAUGUGUUUAUUUAGUAGGAAAGGCAGCUCCAUUGGGAAAGGGCUGGAACUGGUGGCUGUGGGUGUACAGCAGUGUUAUGGUUUGGGUUGAGAUGCCCCCUAAAGCCCCAUGUGGUCAUAGGGUUGGUCUAGAGUGUUUGAAGCUGGAAUUGAUUCAUGAUACAAUGCUAGGCUCAAGGGGGCUAGGAUUAAGAGUGUGAGUGCUACCCGCCCUACGUAGUAUGAAUAAGAUAAAAGGGGCACAAAGAUCCUGUUAAACUCUCUCUUGUUACCUUUGUUGCCUUGUGUAUGGCAUGUUGUUUGUCCUGAAACCUCUACAAACUGUAAGCCAAAUAAAACCAUUCCCCUCCAACUUUGGGUGUCUAGUAUUUUGUCUCAGCAGUGAGAGAAAAGUAACUAACAGAAGCAGUGCACUAUAAGAAGGGACUUCCAGCUCUCUCACUGUCAUUGUGGAAGCUGGAGCAGACAGUUGGCACCUUGGGCAGAGGUGACAGGAAGAACAGGG
This is a long non-coding RNA of Heterocephalus glaber (naked mole-rat), 1724 nucleotides long. NCBI's taxonomy places the organism in Eukaryota, Metazoa, Chordata, Mammalia, Rodentia, Bathyergidae. The record is from Ensembl.